UACGGAGGGUGCAAGCGUUAUCCGGAUUCACUGGGUUUAAAGGGUGCGUAGGCGGGCAUUUAAGUCAGUGGUGAAAUACCUGAGCUUAACUUGGGAACUGCCAUCGAUACUAUUUGUCUUGAAUGUCGUGGAGGUUAGCGGAAUAUGUCAUGUAGCGGUGAAAUGCUUAGAUAUGACAUAGAACACCUAUUGCGAAGGCAGCUAACUACGCGAAUAUUGACGCUGAGGCACGAAAGCGUGGGGAUCAAACAGG
This 253-nucleotide ribosomal RNA is filed under the name uncultured bacterium. RNAcentral describes it as "partial 16S ribosomal RNA". It matches the Rfam family "Bacterial small subunit ribosomal RNA", at positions 524 to 776 of the family's 1533-position model. The record is from RNAcentral.